CCUACGGGGGGCAGCAGUGAGGAAUAUUGGUCAAUGGACGAGAGUCUGAACCAGCCAAGUAGCGUGAAGGAUGACUGCCCUAUGGGUUGUAAACUUCUUUUAUAUGGGAAUAAAAUGUUCCACGUGUGGGCUUUUGUAUGUACCAUAUGAAUAAGGAUCGGCUAACUCCGUGCCAGCAGCCGCGGUAAUACGGAGGAUCCGAGCGUUAGCCGGAUUUAUUGGGUUUAAAGGGAGCGUAGGUGGAUUGUUAAGUCAGUUGUGAAAGUUUGCGGCUCAACCGUAAAAUUGCAGUUGAAACUGGCAGUCUUGAGUACAGUAGAGGUGGGCGGAAUUCGGGGUGUAGCGGUGAAAUGCUUAGAUAUCACGAAGAACUCCGAUUGCGAAGGCAGCUCACUGGACUGCAACUGACACUGAGGCUCGAAAGUGUGGGUAUCAAACAGGAUUAGAUACCCGAGUAGUC
RNAcentral lists this ribosomal RNA (460 nucleotides) under uncultured bacterium. Its description in RNAcentral is "partial 16S ribosomal RNA". It matches the Rfam family "Bacterial small subunit ribosomal RNA", at positions 338 to 795 of the family's 1533-position model. The record is from RNAcentral.